UCUGGUGGUGAUGCGCUUAAGGGUCACACCCGUUCCCAUCCCGAACACGAUGGUUAAGCCUUAAGCGGCCGAUGGUACUGCACUGGAGACGGUGUGGGAGAGUAGGUGGCUGCCAGAG
This is a ribosomal RNA of Herbinix sp., 118 nucleotides long. Lineage: Bacteria; Bacillati; Bacillota; Clostridia; Lachnospirales; Lachnospiraceae. The record is from Rfam.